RNAcentral lists this ribosomal RNA (257 nucleotides) under uncultured bacterium. RNAcentral's name for it is "partial 16S ribosomal RNA". It matches the Rfam family "Bacterial small subunit ribosomal RNA", at positions 524 to 779 of the family's 1533-position model. The record is from RNAcentral.
UACGUAGGGUGCAAGCGUUAAUCGGAAUUACUGGGCGUAAAGCGUGCGCAGGCGGUUGUGCAAGACAGAUGUGAAAUCCCCGGGCUUAACCUGGGAAUUGCAUUUGUGACUGCACGGCUAGAGUGUGUCAGAGGGGGGUAGAAUUCCACGUGUGAGCAGUGAAAUGCGUAGAUAUGCGGAGGAACACCGAUGGCGAAGGCAAUCCCCUGGACCUGUACUGACGCUCAUGCACGAAAGCGUGGGGAGCAAACGAGGAU